This 1897-nucleotide long non-coding RNA is filed under the name Citrus sinensis (sweet orange). RNAcentral's name for it is "long non-coding RNA (CSIN_LNC002827)". The record is from RNAcentral. Lineage: Eukaryota; Viridiplantae; Streptophyta; Magnoliopsida; Sapindales; Rutaceae.
GGAUCUAUCGCGUGUGCAAAGGUGAGGUCAGAAUUACGCAUGUAUAAAUUGCAAAAGUGCAGCCUAUUGAUUUCAUUCAUUUCAUAAGUUUAAUUAAAUGUAUUGUUUCUUCUUCGUCAAGUAUUGUAAAAUACCGGCUGUGAACUUGAUCCUAUGGCUAAAACAAAUUUGGCUAAAACAAAUUUGAUUAAAUGUCUAUAAUGAAGGACAACAUUUGUCCAUGAGGUUCCUAAAAACGCAACUUUUGUGCAGUAAAAUUAAAAUGGAUGGCGGAAGCUCUAGAAACCUCGGAUCAGCUUCAUUCAAAAACGAAAAUCAAGAGGAAAGAUUGAAGUUUAAUUAACUCACUUGUAGUUUCAAAAAAGACUUCGUGAAGUAGGAGAAAAUGACUGAAAACAGCAAGCUACGAACACUGUCCAGAAAAUAGACCUCUGCACGAACAGCUUCUGUUUUGCAAUUUUAAGAUUUGUAUAUUUUUAUGAAUCAAAACUUAAGAAAUCUAUAUUUCUUUGGGUGAAUUUUUAUGGGUAGAUGAUGAUACAUGUACAAAUUCUUGUAAAAAUUAUUUUUAUACAAACUAACAUGGCAUAACAUGAUUGGUUGAAUGAAAACACUACAUGAUCCAUAUAAUUUAGAUUUGUUAUUUUAUAUUUCACUCAACCAAUGAUUUAAUAUCACAUCAAUUUAUAUAAAAAUAGAUUGUACAAGAGUUUGUAGUUAUAGUAUUACAUUUAAUAUUAAUAUGUGCAUUUAUUUUUUAUAAAUCAAAAUGGACGUAUUUAUGAAAUAAAAUUUAAAAUAGUGGUAUAAGGAUUUUUGAGGCGUAUUAAGAGCCCCGCUCUGUAUGAAAAUUGUAGCCCAAUCCAAUUACCAAAAUAGCGAUCGGACUUUUCUUACUACGAACCAUGUGUUGCACAUUCUUGCUGGACCUCGAAGAAGCGGAAAUGUCAUGUUAAGUAGUGUUUUUCGCAUAGUGGCUGAAAUAAUUUGGACCUACUAAAGCAAGAGACUUUUGUCUUCCACUUUCAAGAGUAAAGCAUACGCCAAAAACGAGAAAAAAUAUAUUGCUUCGUGAUUGAAUAGUUAGCGGGUAUACAAUUGUAACCACUAAUAUUUGGCUAAGGUCAGUCUUGCUUAUUCUGAUAAACAUAACGCCAAUGACACCAUUCAACUCAAUAAGCUGAAACUUGAAAGCUGAAAAGGAAAGGAGAGCAUUAUCUUUACUGGGCAUAACUUUAGAAUAUGCCCGAGGGAUCUAUCGCGUGUGCAAAGGUGAGGUCAGAAUUACGCAUGUAUAAAUUGCAAAAGUGCAGCCUAUUGAUUUCAUUCAUUUCAUAAGUUUAAUUAAAUGUAUUGUUUCUUCUUCGUCAAGUAUUGUAAAAUACCGGCUGUGAACUUGAUCCUAUGGCUAAAACAAAUUUGGCUAAAACAAAUUUGAUUAAAUGUCUAUAAUGAAGGACAACAUUUGUCCAUGAGGUUCCUAAAAACGCAACUUUUGUGCAGUAAAAUUAAAAUGGAUGGCGGAAGCUCUAGAAACCUCGGAUCAGCUUCAUUCAAAAACGAAAAUCAAGAGGAAAGAUUGAAGUUUAAUUAACUCACUUGUAGUUUCAAAAAAGACUUCGUGAAGUAGGAGAAAAUGACUGAAAACAGCAAGCUACGAACACUGUCCAGAAAAUAGACCUCUGCACGAACAGCUUCUGUUUUGCCACGAUUUGAGAUCCUUAAAGCACCCCAAUUGUGAUGCCUCUAGUUAGUACACACUUAGAAAUGUUCUAGGAGUUCAUAGGAUUUGGAAUCUCGAAAUUUCGUUUAGAAAUGAGAGAGAUAAUGAAGAAACAUGAAUGCUAGUUCAUGAUGAUUCAUUCCACCGAAUAAAGCCACCAUUAUCUUCAAUAAU